This 4278-nucleotide long non-coding RNA is filed under the name Homo sapiens (human). Its description in RNAcentral is "HSALNT0107111". Lineage: Eukaryota; Metazoa; Chordata; Mammalia; Primates; Hominidae. The record is from RNAcentral.
CUUUUAUUUAGUCGUAUGGUCUGAGUCAGCCUAUUUCCAGGACAGUGGUAAUGCAUGCGUUUGAUUCUUGAAUGCAAAUAUGCUUUCAAUUUUACUAUGCAAAUUCCCUGAUUUUGGUAUACUUCUCGGGGGCUUGCAGCUGGCUAUGUGCUGCUCUCUUCUCUCCUGCUUGAUGGGCUGUGUUCCUGCCAGGCACUGUCAGACAGCCAGUGGCAGCCCUUGGUAGUCCUGCUGGAGCUCCCAAGCUGCUUGGCCCUGUGGGUUCAGUGACAUUUUACUGUUUGUGGGGUAAAGCCCACAUUUUGCACCAAGUUCAUAAAAUUCAUCCGAUUUUUAUUUUCAUAUGUAACAGCGUCAUGAAUCUUUUUUGAAAGUAGCCAUCAAAGUAGCCGUCAGAAGCAACAGGACCUAGAAAGGUUACUUAAAUCCACACAGAUCUGAGUCAAAUUCUGAGACCGUCAGGCUUCCACAUUGAUCAAAUAUGACAAUUUCAUAACUCCCUAGUUUGUUGUGAGAAUUAACUAAGACCACAUAUAAAGGGCCCAGUUCAGUGACUGACCUAUCGCACACAUAGCCCAUGCUAGUUAGUUGCCCCAACUCCUCUUACUUCCUGGUCCUCUGAGAUUCAGGUGAGAAGCAGGAAAUAGAGGCAAGCCAAGUGUAUUAAUCCACCAUCUCUCCUUAAUGGGAAUGAGAAGCUGUGAGACUACGUGGGGCCUUAAAUGUCCCAUUCCCAGCAUCAUCCCCCAUUAAUCCAAACUAACACACAUCCAAUAGUCCAGCCACACUCACCUAUUCACAGUUACUUCCAGGCCUCCACACAUCCUGUUCCUUCUGUCCUCUAUUUGCUUCCCAUCUUUUUUGUAUAACACAAAGUUCUACAGAGCUUUAAUCCCCAAUUUCAGUGUCACCUUCUUGAUGACAUCUGCCCUGCUUGCUUACUCCUCUUCCCAGGCAGAGUCACUCACCACAUACACAAACCUGUCCAUGCACUUAGCAGAGUGUAGGAGUCAUGCUUACCCUUUAGCCAAGUGUAGUGUUGUUGAGUAUUCACUUCUGUCUGGGUCUUACAAGACUAGGGGUUCCUCAAUGGCAGGAGUUUAUAUUUGAAUCCCUAGAAUCCAAUGCAGUACAGCAUACAUUCCAUACUAAACAAAUAUAUAUUGAAUGAAUACAUGAAUGAAUGUCAUAACUGGCAGCUCUCUAAAUGAAGGGAGGGAAAGGUCAUGAAAGAAAUGAAAGAAAAUCAGUCCCGCAAAAUGUUCCCUAACUUUUCUCUAAAGCAUUUCAAGAUCUUUCUGAGCACUCAGCCCCAAACUACUGCGGAGGAAGGUAGUAUCCCAGGCACUGCUCAGGAGUUCUCUCAACAGCAGAGACAAUGGCUGCAGCCAUGUGGGCUCCUGAGCUGCCCCUGCCACUCAGUUUUAUGCUCCAUCCCCCCAUAGUAUCCUGAAAAUAAAGAGGAAUGCUGCUUUGCCAGCAGCCACAGAAGUCACUGGUUUCAGGUGAGUGAUUCUAAGUAAGCUGCGGCCAAUAAAACAGAGAAAACAAAAAGGAGAUGAAGACUUUUUACUCCUGCAGCCUCAGAGAACCCAGAGCUGGAGUGGAGAGUGGCUGGGACAGGAGAUGGAAUAUGAAGGAAGAAUGUUUACAGAAGCAUAAGAGGUGUCCUCCAGGCUCAGAAGACUUGUUGGGCCUAUAUUCUGACCUUCUGAGGAACUAAUGAACAAGCCUGGAAAGUACAGGUGAAUUUCAUGACAUCAACUGCAAAAAAUCACCAUAUCCUGACCAGAUAUCUGAGCAUCACCUGGAGGAGGUCUUGGACAUGAAGAUGCAUUCAGUGACUAAUGGGACUUUGGGUUGGAGGAAGGAAAUGGAUGCGUAAUGACCAGAGGGAAGGAGAUGGCAAAGAAUGCCAGCAUUCACCCAUACCUAUGCUUCCACUGAGAGGGUAGUAAGUGUCCCCAGAAAAAAAAUUCACCAAUUCCAAAUACUCUUGAGAAAUGGCUUUGAUGUUACUACAAUAUUCACUUUAAAAGCUAACUUUUCUUCUGUGACACCAUCUAUCACUGCCUCCUCACUCUCUGCAUAUCUUUGCUGCUAGUGCAGAGGAAAAUGAAAGGGCUGGCAUUCAUCAGGGAAAGAAUAAGGGACGAAGAAAGGGGACUGCAGGACUUUCCAUUUCAGAGAAUACAUCUGACUAUGAAACUGAUGACCCCUCCUUCCCAAAACGAAAAAUGUGCCCUUUAUAUCCACAUGGCUACAAUGACCACCAAAGCCCAAAUCUGGAGUGAGAGAUGUCGGUCCAUAAAGAUCUGCCAUCUUCAGGUCACAUGGUAUUUCCACAAGUAUAAACUCAGUUUGAAAAGAAAAAGAAAGAAAGAUAAUAAGCUUCCCUUAAAAGCUUCCUGCUUCCUACUUUUCCCUCCAGCAUACAUUUAUUCUUAUCGUCCUCCUCAUCCAAUAGUAUUUAUUAAAUGAACACAUUUGCAUGGCACCUUACCUAUGAUUUUCCAUUUCUCUCCAAGGAAGAUUUCCUGGUUUAGAAGUUUUAAUGGCUUCUCCUUUGAAAAUGUCUUAAGAGGGUUUUGACUGUAAUUCCUUUUCUCCUAGCUCUUAUUUAAUAGGCACCAAUGCCUAUCUUUGCCUGGGGUGUUGGGCUAGGGAGAGGAAGAUUCAUUAACCAUGGUGAGUUAUGGAUUUCAAUACCGUGGCUACUUCAUUUCUCAUAUCCAAGUAGAUCAUUUCCUCCCUAGUCCCUCUGAGCCCAAGAAGGCAUAUUUUGUAAGUAGCCUUAAUCUGCUUCAUUAGAAUAUUUUUUUUAACUUUACAAGAAUGAUACCGCCAAUAUUACCAUAUUACUUAUGGUGAUAUGCAUGGCAGUAUAAUCAUACAUUCAUAUUAUGUGGCAGUAAGAGUAGUGAUUUUAGUUGUGAUAGUAAGAGUAAGAAAACCAUAGUUUUAGAGCUUGGAGACAUUAAAAUUAAUCUCAUUUUCAGAUACAGAAACCUAGAUCCAGGGAAGAGAAGUGCUUUGCCUAAGGUUAAUACUGGUGACUAAUGCCUAACUCCAGUGAGUCUGACUCAUAACCUAAUAUGCUCCCCUAUUGCACCCUUUGAGCAUUAAAGUAGCAUGAUACUGACAGAAAGCAAGGCUCUGCUUUUGGUGCCAGAAACAGACAGUGAUGCUGCUCAAGGUUAUUAUAUAGCACACUACAAAAGAGCAGAUGUGUGGUUAAUACACUCUGGAUACAUUUCAGUUGGACAAGUCUCCAUUUUCUCCCUGUCUGUUUCUACUUGUCCUUAUGCCCUGGAGUACUAGCAGAAUAUUUCUCCCUAGGAGACCAGCUGUGUCUUUUCUCAGGGGAAAAGUGUCCCUACCUUCACAAUAUUCUCUAGCUUCCAGCACCAAGUAGACUCUUCCUAAGAAGCAGGGUAGUAGCUCUAUCUGCUAAAAAUGGUAACUGCUUUGGUUUAGGGACUGCGACUUCUCCUCAGAUCUGGCCGUAUGGAAAACUGUAACACUGAUGAAGUUUAUUCUCUCAUCCCUUCUCUAGAGCACUGGUUUCUAACCAGGGGGACUUUGCUCUCCCACCCUGACAACCCAAGGGAAGUCUGGCAACGUCUGGAAAUAUUUUCUGCUGUCCCAACUGAGGGAGCGGUUUUGGUAUCUCACGGGUAAAGGUCAAGAAUGCUUGUGAAAUAUCCUACAGUGCACAGGUCAGCCCCCCAAACAAAAAUGCAAUCAGUCAAAAUGGCAACAUGCUAAGAUUGAAGAACUUGGCCACAGAGUAUUCUCCCCACCUCAGAACCUCAGACCUUGCCUACCAUUGCCAACCUAAAGCUGCUUGCCUACCAUUAUUUGGGGACUUGGCUUUCAGCUACCACAAUAAGAAGUUAAAUCAUCUUCUCUACAGUCUCUCCUAUUAGUAGAGGAAUUCUAAAGCCCAUAGGAGAAACAGGUCUCGACUAUACAUAAAGUUUUCUUGCAUCAUAAAAUUCAAAUUAUAUGAACAUUUACAAAAUGGGGAUUUUUUCUUCUUACUUCAUUGAGUUGAUAUAAAAAUAAUAAAAUAAGAGAGUAAAACAGGAGUUACAAAGGGCAGAGAGCAGGGUGGGAGUGGGGAGAUGUAAGUCAAAGGGCAUUAAGUUGCAGUUAUGUAGCAUGAAUAAGUCUAGAGAUGUAAUGGAUAGCAUAAGAACUAUAAUCAAUAAUAUUGUAUUGUAUAAUGAAAAUUUGCCAGGAGAGUAAUUUUAUCACUAAAAAAGAGCUAUGUGA